Molecule: ribosomal RNA, 442 nt
Filed under: uncultured bacterium
Lineage: Bacteria
Description: partial 16S ribosomal RNA
Rfam family: Bacterial small subunit ribosomal RNA
Source: RNAcentral
CCUACGGGAGGCAGCAGUGGGGGAUAUUGCACAAUGGGGGAAACCCUGAUGCAGCGACGCCGCGUGUGCGAAGAAGUAUUUCGGUAUGUAAAGCCCUAUCAGCAGGGAGGAAGGAAUGACGGUACCUGAGUAAGGAGCACCGGCUAAAUACGUGCAAGCAGACGCGGUAAUACGUAUGGUGCAAGCGUUAUCCGGCUGUACUGGGUGGAAAGGGUGCGCAGGCGGCACGGCAAGCCUGAUGUGAAAGCCCGCGGCCCAACCGGGGGACUGCAUUGGGAACUACCGGGCGGGAGUGCCGGAGAGGUAGGCGGAAUUCCUAGUGGAGCGGUGAAAUGCGUAGAUAUGAGGAGGAACACCAGUGGCGAAGGCGGCUUACUGGACGGUGACUGACGCUGAGGCUCGAAAGCGUGGGGAGCAAACAGGAUUAGAUACCCGGGUAGUC